CGUGUAGGCGGGUCUUUAAGUCAGGGUGAAAUGCCAAGGCUCAACCUUGGAACUGCCUUUGAUACUGGAGAUCUUGAGUCCGGGAGAGGUGAGUGGAACUGCGAGUGUAGAGGUGAAAUUCGUAGAUAUUCGCAAGAACACCAGUGGCGAAGGCGGCUCACUGGCCCGGAACUGACGCUGAGACGCGAAAGCGUGGGGAGCAAACAGGAUUAGAUACCCUGGUAGUCCACGCUGUAAACGAUGGAUGCUAGCCGUUGGGGAGCUUGCUCUUCAGUGGCGCAGCUAACGCUUUAAGCAUCCCGCCUGGGGAGUACGGUCGCAAGAUUAAA
This 329-nucleotide ribosomal RNA is filed under the name uncultured bacterium. RNAcentral's name for it is "bacterial SSU rRNA". It matches the Rfam family "Bacterial small subunit ribosomal RNA", at positions 568 to 898 of the family's 1533-position model. The record is from RNAcentral.